UGCAAAUAGAUAGUCCAAUUCCUAUAUUUAAGGGAGAACAACUCCACCAACCAAAAACACAUAAUAAAAUAACAACUUAAUUUGAGGAAAGGCUGCAAAAGAAGGAUAAAUCAAAAGAAAAACCCGGAACGUUUCGAAAUAGUUACAGUUCCAUUAUCAACGGGAAACAAAAGUUUAAAAAAAGGAGUCGUUGAUUCGCUGUUAUUGCGAGACUGAGACACUAUAUUUUCCUAUUUAAUAUAACCGACAGAGUUUGUAAAAAUGGCAACUCGAUCGGAGAGCCUAUUGCAGGAAGGAGCGGACGCGAAGGGAGUAAGGGGACGUCUAAAAGGUGCGAAAAUCUCCGGCCAAUUUGACAGAUUGGGGGGCUGAGGACCCCCGGGGGGGGAUUCGCCACGGGUGAGGAUAUCUUGAUAGCGAUCGCCCGGGCCCGAGAAGAGCGUAUCGAGCGAAUGUGAUUUUUCCCCCUAUAAGAGAAUUGAGAGGGGGCCCGCGACCACAUUGUCAUCUCGAUCCGCGAUCCGUCAGCACUGUACAACAUGUUUCCGUUCCCGAUUGUGUUGCUGUGUUUUGGCGCGGUGGCGCUCGCCGCCGAAAGAUCGCCGGAGGCGCAUGGACGUCAAGUUGUGUUGACCCAGCUCAUUCUGCCGAACGGACAAUAUCCAGGCCCGGCCAAAGUUAUCGAAGCAGCCGCCCCUCUGCCUGCAAGACAAGUCUCGUAUACUAUCCCCCAGCUCAAACCUAAUUACGUUGACGGGUUCCAAUAUUACCCGGUUUUCCCGGGUCAGGCACCUGUGCCUUAUGGUGCAAGUCCUUUCGUCUACUACCAGCCUGGCGCUCCCUAUCCAGCUUAUGUUCGAGACGAACAAGGAAGUGGACAAGGUGGAUGGGGUUCACUCUUCAGUAAUUUUCAAAAUUAUUUCCCGAAUUAUUUCCAACAAGGCUCAAGUGGAGCGCAAGGAGAAGGAGAACACAAUGAGGAGCAAGCAGAGGAGCAGGGAGACAAGCAGAAGCCCCAGAAAGUGCAACAACAAAUCCAGCAACAGCAGCUCCAGCAACAACAAUUCCAGCAACAACAAGAGCAACUCCAACAGCAACAGAUCCAACAAGUUCAGCAGCAGAUCAAGCUUCAACAAGAACAGCUCCAACAGCAGCAGCCAUCCCAGGUGUUCUACAACCAGCAACCGGCGCCUGAGAGCGUAGGCAACCAGAAGGACGGAGCUCCUGCCGGUUUGCAGAACCCGGCAGCGACCGCCCAGUUCCCCCAGUUCCUGUACGGCGCUCAGCCCCAGUUUUUCGGGCAGUACCCGUCGCAGAACCGCGUGAGCCAGGACCCUGACAAAUUGACCGCGGCCUCUCACGGCGCUGUCUCCAACUACUUGUUCCUUAAAAACCAGCAACAACCCGCAUUCCAACACACGCAACAGCGGUACGAGAGUCCAGCAGCAGAAACCGCUCCACUGGCGGCCGGCGGUCGCGGGCGACCCGCAGCUGCGGCGGCCCCGGGGAAAAGACUCGAGCUGGAGAGAUAUUCGGCCGACGCCAAGAACCAAAGAUCUCCUCUUUACGCCCAGCACGUCUCUGCGUUGCAGGUUUCCGCCGACCCCGCCUCUAUCCAAGGUCCCUCCAACGUCUAAAAAUCCACAGUCAUCUGAUCGCUCAAGCGUCACCUGAAGCUCUGGCCGCCGCGGGGCAAGGAGGCAUGGCAGGCGCAGGCCCCACCGGGCAGGCCAUCGUAGGGGACAGGGGGCUCGCCCUCUCGGCGCCCAAAAGCACGGCCAUCGCCGGUCACCCCGACAUUGAGGUCGUCAUCACCGGAGACAAGAAACCCGGCUCCAAACCCAAAAAGCCCGUCGCCAAAUAUUCAAAGAGCAAAGGCUACCACAUCGACUACUCCUCUUGAGGUCUCCAUUCCACCACCGACUAAAUUCUGCACACGGGAAGGAGGACCUUUGGAUUAUCCUCGUUUCCUUCCCACUGUUUUACCAUGACUGUUCCUUACCGUGAUCUAAUCGACGAAUUUCCUUGACAGAAUAUUGGCAUCUGUUUUGCCGUUCUAAGGAAAAACGCCGUAUGAACCGUCAGGCGUUGCCAAACUUCCAUUUAAAAAACACGGAUUUCCUGGUAAACUCAUGAAUAUUUUUCUUCCGAUUUUUCAGAUAAUGUUGUUUGCAAUUUAACAUGAAAAUCCUGAAAAUUUCAAGGAAAAAUAGUCAUAACCUUCCUCAAAAUAAACAUUUUAUCGAAGGAAAUUUGGCAACUCUCGAAUGUUCAUACGGCGUUCUUCCUUAGCACGGCAGCGUUGGUCAUCAUUAGGCGAAGAAUUACAGUAAUGCAUAUACUAAGGCGAAGUUUGUAAAAUGUAUGUCCUAGUUGAGUUAACAGCUAUUACGUGAGAGUUUCGCCACUUUCCGUUAAAACUUUGAAGAUGACUCAAAAUUUAAUUUUGUAGCGUAAAAUUUACCAACAUUUUCCCUGUCAUUUAUUAUUCGUUUAGGGAUAGUUUCCUGUCUAUUCCGAAUAAUUUAAGCCAGCCAGCUUUAACGUUUGCUGAUCCUAAAGUGUAUGUGCCAUUUUAUUUUUUAUGCUAAGUAGGGUUGGAGUAUUAAAAUGCUCGGAGAUUUCUUUGGUAUCCAUGCAAAUGCGACGUCGAAUGCAUCUUAUGAUCACCACAAACAUUUGCUUGAUCUCGUUCUGUUUUUUAUUAUUUUUGGGUCAUAUUUCUCAAGUAUUUACUGUAUCUACACGGCUUCUAAUUGAAAACAAUUUUGAAAAAAAUUUGAAAAUUAUAAGUUUGGCUGUUUUACGAUGAGCCUCAAUUUAAAACAUUAAUUUUCAAUUUGAAAAUGAAAAUUUAAAGUCGAGUCUUUCAUCUUGGGUUCAUCAUGGAUCCUAGCUCUAUUUAAAAUCAGUGGGUUUUCACUUUCCGUCCAUACAUUCUAUUGGUCCAAAAUGGGUUCUUGAUAGUCAAGUCAAUUUUUAUUUAAUGUAGAAGGGCUGUUCAAGAAAUCCAAUAAGUUCAUAAUUCGUGCCGCUUGUGUAUUAACAAGGACGGCUCAGUGUGAAUCUUGUAUUGUAUACUUGGAACUGUAAGAUAGGUUUCUUAUAAUUUUUUUUGUUUCGUUUUCCUACUUUUAUUGUCCAUUUCCCUUGACGAGACUUCGAUUCAAUAUUGGUAAACUUUCCUUGCAGUGCUCAAGUUUUGAAUCAUAGGAACAGAUUGAAUUGAAAGUAAUGUGGAUGAAUAAACGUUUGGGAAAAAUCUGUACGCAAAAAUUGCUAAUUACGUGUCUCACUUUCCCAUCAUCCCUCUCUGUUUAAAAAUACACUCUGUAUUUGUCACAUAAUCUCUGCAUCCUGCUAUUUAUGAAGAAACUGUCACUGUACGUACAUUGAAAUUCCUUCUUCAGUCGACAGUAUACCUAAGUAUGCUUUAUUGCAAUAAUUUCACAAUGACUCAGAUGGAAGCUAUCUGAAUGACAAAUUGUGCGCCUGAUUCAUUUUCAAAUCGCAGACGGGUUGAUAUUUAACAGCAGACUGUAAGCAUUUUAAUUCUUCUUUUGGAUUCUAGUUACUUUUGUCAUACUUUUUGGAAGUCAUAAGGUCAAGAAGAUGUAAAGAAUUCGUUAAAACCCAAUAAUUUUCAGAAAUGCUUCCCACCAAAAAUAUUGAUAAAAUUCCAGAAACAAAAUGUGGCAAGAUGAUAUUGCUUUUCAAAUAGAGUGGAGUCUCUUCUCUAGUAUUAACGGCAAGAGGAAUAUAAUAUAGACUGCUUUAAACAGAAAGGAACCAAGCCACAUCAGCAUUUGCCAAAUUUGAUUGAGCAAUUUAAUUUUUACAUG
Molecule: long non-coding RNA, 3842 nt
Filed under: Bemisia tabaci
Lineage: Eukaryota; Metazoa; Arthropoda; Insecta; Hemiptera; Aleyrodidae
Description: lncRNA ENSSSA1NGG004946
Source: RNAcentral